Octopus sinensis (East Asian common octopus) is the source of this 1132-nucleotide long non-coding RNA. RefSeq lists it as uncharacterized. The transcript is spliced from 3 exons. The record is from RefSeq and is a predicted model, not a curated record. NCBI's taxonomy places the organism in Eukaryota, Metazoa, Mollusca, Cephalopoda, Octopoda, Octopodidae.
GAACCAUGUGGUUGGGAAGCAAGCCUCUUACCACACAGCCAUGCCUAACUUAUAUAUAUAUGUGUAUAUAUAUAUAUAUGAUAUAUAUACAUUUAUAUAUGUGUGCAUAUGUGUAGAUCUCUGUGAAUCUUUGCACUCUGCACUUUUGGUUGAAAAAGUGCAAUGCUUAAAAAUGAUGCAUGUUUACAGAUAGAAAGAAAAAUAUUCACAAACUUUGCAGAAAAUUAAAUAUUCUACUGGAAAAACAGGUAAGGGAUAGCAAUGAAAAAAACAUUUGGCUGCAAAAUAAUAUCUCAAAAAAUGUAUUUGUUUCAUCCACACCAGCAUGAGAAAACAGAUUUAAAAGAAAUAAAUAAAUAUUCAGGCAAAGAUGUGGCUGCUUUGAUAUAGAAUUCACGUGGUAACCACACAGUCUUGAAUUCUAUCUGCAUAGUACCUUGGGCAGGUCUUCUACUCUAACCUUUAGCCAACUAAUGCCCUAUGAGUGAAAUUGGUAGAGAGAAACUGUAUAAAGCCCUGUUGUUAUGUGUAUGUGUGUGUGUGCAUGUGUGCAUUUUGUAUAUGUAUUUGUGUGUGAGUGCUUGUGUACAUAUAUAUAUAUACAUACACACACAUACAUAAAUACACUCACACAUGCAUAUAUAUAUAAAUAUAUAUAUGUAUAUACAAAAGUCAUUCUAGUUUCAUCAAAAAGGAAUGUUUUUUAUAUUUUUGAGGUCCCAAAUGUACAAUGCGAGUGGAGUAGAUCUUCAUCUGGCAUAUCUAAAAGAAAAGGUGUGUCAGUCAUACCUGAUUUUGAAUAGAUUAGCAUGUGUUUGCUUAGUUGGCAUUUAUAUUUUACCCUGAUAUACUGUAUCUUUACGUAAGUAGUUUGAAUGUAAAGGGUGUAAAGAGAGGUUGAUAUAUUUGCAAUUAUUAGGAGUAGAACUGGGUCACUUUUGUUAAGUUUAGAAAGGUUAAAAGAUUGGUUGAAGUUGGGAGUUAAGAAUAUGUAAGAUUUUUAUAGUUCUCUUAUUGGAUGUCUUAUAAUAUGUAUGUUGCAGUGGGAAGUGUCUUUUACAUAUCUAUAUACAUACAUAUGUGUGUGUAUGCACAUUUUGUGUGUGUGUGUGUGUGUUGUGUUUGUCUGUAU